This 434-nucleotide long non-coding RNA is filed under the name Spirodela polyrhiza (greater duckweed). RNAcentral's name for it is "long non-coding RNA (SPOL_LNC002497)". Lineage: Eukaryota; Viridiplantae; Streptophyta; Magnoliopsida; Alismatales; Araceae. The record is from RNAcentral.
UGGAGCGCGUCGGCGACUUCUGCUGGUACCUCCAUAGCAUCUGGCUGCUACCGGUGCAGGUCUUCCUGGCGCUACUGGUCCUCCGCGCCAACCUCGGCGGCGCCGCGGCCGCCGCCUCCCUUCUCGCCACCGUGCUGGUGAUGGUCUCCAACGUGCCCCUGGCCAACGCGCAGGAGAGGAUGCACUGCUCGAUCAUGGAGGCCAAGGACGCCCGCAUGGCCGCCACCGGCGAGACCCUCAAGGCCAUGAGAAUCCUGAAGUUGCAGGCGUGGGAGGGGGCGUACCUGAAGAAGAUCCUGACGCUGAGGGAGGUGGAGCGGCGGCGGCUGAGGAGGUACCUUUACACCUGCUCCGCCGUGGCCUUCCUCUUCUGGGCCUCGCCGGCGCUGGUCUCCGUCGUCGCCUUCGUCGUCGCCGCCGCCGCCGGCCAGGAG